CAAGAUGUAGCUUAACUAAAGCAUCUAGUUUACACCUAGAAGAUUUCAUAUAUUAUGAAUAUCUUGA
RNAcentral lists this transfer RNA (67 nucleotides) under Naemorhedus cranbrooki. RNAcentral describes it as "Nemorhedus cranbrooki tRNA-Val". It matches the Rfam family "tRNA". From Rfam's summary of the family: Transfer RNA (tRNA) molecules are approximately 80 nucleotides in length. Their secondary structure includes four short double-helical elements and three loops (D, anti-codon, and T loops). Lineage: Eukaryota; Metazoa; Chordata; Mammalia; Artiodactyla; Bovidae. The record is from RNAcentral.